Molecule: ribosomal RNA, 365 nt
Filed under: cf. Ploeotila sp. CCCryo 086-99
Lineage: Eukaryota; Viridiplantae; Chlorophyta; Chlorophyceae; Chlamydomonadales
Description: SSU rRNA
Rfam family: Eukaryotic small subunit ribosomal RNA
Source: RNAcentral
UGUGAUGCCUUAGAUGUUCUGGGCCGCACGCGCGCUACACUGAUGCAUUCAACGAGCCUAUCCUUGGCCGAGAGGCCCGGGUAAUCUUUGAAACUGCAUCGUGAUGGGGAUAGAUUAUUGCAAUUAUUAGUCUUCAACGAGGAAUGCCUAGUAAGCGCGAGUCAUCAGCUCGCGUUGAUUACGUCCCUGCCCUUUGUACACACCGCCCGUCGCUCCUACCGAUUGGGUGUGCUGGUGAAGUGUCCGGAUUGGCCUCAGCUGGUGGCAACAUCGGCUGUGGCUGAAAAGUUCCCUAAACCCUCCCACCUAGAGGAAGGAGAAGUCGUAACAAGGUUUCCGUAGGUGAACCUGCGGAAGGAUCAUUG